This 915-nucleotide ribosomal RNA is filed under the name uncultured bacterium. RNAcentral's name for it is "bacterial SSU rRNA". It matches the Rfam family "Bacterial small subunit ribosomal RNA", at positions 8 to 941 of the family's 1533-position model. The record is from RNAcentral.
AGAGUUUGAUCCUGGCUCAGAAUCAACGCUGGCGGCGUGCCUAACACAUGCAAGUCGCACGAGAAAGUGGAGCAAUCCAUGAGUAAAGUGGCGUACGGGUGAGUAACACGUGACUAACCUACCCUCGAGUGGGGAAUAACCUCGGGAAACCGGGGCUAAUACCGCAUAACAUCUUCUGGCUGAGAUGCCGGUUGAUCAAAGUAGUAAUGCGCUUGAGGAGGGGGUCGCGGCUGAUUAGCUAGUUGGUGAGGUAACGGCCCACCAAGGCUAUGAUCAGUAGCCGGCCUGAGAGGGCGCACGGCCACACUGGAACUGAAACACGGUCCAGACUCCUACGGGAGGCAGCAGUGGGGAAUUUUGCGCAAUGGGGGAAACCCUGACGCAGCAACGCCGCGUGGAGGAUGAAGUCCCUUGGGACGUAAACUCCUUUCGAUCGGGACGAUUAUGACGGUACCGGAAGAAGAAGCCCCGGCUAACUUCGUGCCAGCAGCCGCGGUAAUACGAGGGGGGCAAGCGUUGUUCGGAAUUAUUGGGCGUAAAGGGCGCGUAGGCGGUGCGGUAAGUCUGAUGUGAAAUCUCCGGGCUCAACUCGGAGUCUGCAUCAGAAACUGCCGUGCUGGAGUGUGGGAGAGGUGAGUGGAAUUCCCGGUGUAGCGGUGAAAUGCGUAGAUAUCGGGAGGAACACCUGUGGCGAAAGCGGCUCACUGGACCAUAACUGACGCUGAUGCGCGAAAGCUAGGGGAGCAAACAGGAUUAGAUACCCUGGUAGUCCUAGCCCUAAACGAUGAUCGCUUGGUGUGACAGGUACCCAAUCCUGUCGUGCCGGAGCUAACGCGUUAAGCGAUCCGCCUGGGGAGAACCGUCGCCAGGCUGAAACUCAAGGAAUUGACGGGGGCCGCACAAGCGGGGAACAUG